AGCAGCCGCGGUAAUUCCAGCUCCAAUAGCGUAUAUUAAAGUUGUUGCAGUUAAAAAGCUCGUAGUUGAAUUUCGGGAUCAAUAUGUUGGUCGUGCCUUGGUACGUACUGGCAUUAUUGGUUUCUACCUUCUGAAGAACCUCGAUGUCAUUAAUUUGGUGUCUUGGGGAAUCAGGACUGUUACUUUGAAAAAAUUAGAGUGUUUAAAGCAGGCUCGCGCUUGAAUACAUUAGCAUGGGAUAAUGAAAUAGGACGUUUGAUUCUAUUUUGUUGGUUUCUAGGAUUGACGUAAUGAUUAAUAGGGAUAGUUGGGGGCAUUAGUAUUCAAUUGUCAGAGGUGAAAUUCUUGGAUUUAUUGAAGACUAACUACUGCGAAAGCAUUUGCCAAGGAUGUUUUCAUUAAUCAAGAACGAAAGUUAGGGAUCGAAGACGAUCAGAUACCGUCGUAGUC
Molecule: ribosomal RNA, 450 nt
Filed under: uncultured Glomeromycotina
Lineage: Eukaryota; Fungi; Glomeromycota
Description: SSU rRNA
Rfam family: Eukaryotic small subunit ribosomal RNA
Source: RNAcentral